RNAcentral lists this ribosomal RNA (740 nucleotides) under uncultured archaeon. Its description in RNAcentral is "bacterial SSU rRNA". It matches the Rfam family "Archaeal small subunit ribosomal RNA", at positions 1 to 750 of the family's 1478-position model. The record is from RNAcentral.
UUCCGGUUGAUCCUGCCGGACCCGACUGCUAUCAGAGUGGGACUAAGCCAUGCGAGUCGACGUAGCAAUGCGUGGCGAACGGCUCAGUAACACGUAGUCAACAUGCCCAGGGGACGUGGAUAACCUCGGGAAACUGAGAAUAAACCACGAUAGGUCACGAUUUCUGGAAUGGAUCAUGGCCUAAAUCUACAUGGCCCCUGGAUUGGACUGCGGCCGAUCAGGCAGUUGGUGAGGUAAUGGCCCACCAAACCUAUAACCGGUACGGGCUCUGAGAGGAGAAGCCCGGAGAUGGGCACUGAGACAAGGGCCCAGGCCCUAUGGGGCGCAGCAGGCGCGAAACCUCUGCAAUAGGCGAAAGCCUGACAGGGUUACUCUGAGUGAUUUCCGCUAAGGGGAUCUUUUGGCACCUCUAAAAAUGGUGCAGAAUAAGGGGUGGGCAAGUCUGGUGUCAGCCGCCGCGGUAAUACCAGCACCCCGAGUGGUCGGGACGAUUAUUGGGCCUAAAGCAUCCGUAGCCGGUUCUGCAAGUCUUCCGUUAAAUCCAGCCGCUCAACGGAUGGGCCGCGGAGGAUACUACAGGACUAGGAGGCGGGAGAGGCAAGCGGUACUCAGUGGGUAGGGGUAAAAUCCUUUGAUCCAUUGAAGACCACCAGUGGCGAAGGCGGCUUGCCAGAACGCGCUCGACGGUGAGGGAUGAAAGCUGGGGGAGCAAACCGGAUUAGAUACCCGGGUAGUCCCAG